Molecule: ribosomal RNA, 552 nt
Filed under: uncultured archaeon
Lineage: Archaea
Description: bacterial SSU rRNA
Rfam family: Archaeal small subunit ribosomal RNA
Source: RNAcentral
ACGGGGUGCAGCAGGCGCGAAACCUCCUCAAUGCACUAACGUGCGAAGGGGUUACCUCGAGUGCCUCCUGAAGAAGGUGGCUUUUCCUUGGUCUAAAAAGCCUCGGGAAUAAGAGGGGGGCAAGACUGGUGUCAGCCGCCGCGGUAACACCAGCCCCUCGAGUGGUGGGGAUGAUUAUUUGGCCUAAAGCGUCCGUAGCCGGCCGUAUAAGUUUCCCGUUAAAUCCAACGUCUCAAGCGUUGGACUGCGGGAAAUACUGUACGGCUAGAGAGUGGGAGAGGUCAGCGGUAUUCUGGGGGUAGGGGCGAAAUCCUUUGAUCCCCGGAGGACCACCAGUGGCGAAGGCUGCUGACUAGAACACGUCUGACGGUCAGGGACGAAAGCUGGGGUAGCGAACCGGAUUAGAUACCCGGGUAGUCCCAGCCGUAAACGAUGCAUGCUAGGUGUUGGGUUGGCCACGAGCCACCCCAGUGCCGCAGGGAAGCCGUUAAGCAUGCCGCCUGGGAAGUACGAUCGCAAGAUUGAAAUUUAAAGGAAUUGGCGGGGGAGCAC